CCGUAAGGAACGAAUGUGAUCGAGUAUCGGCAGCUGCACCGCGAUCCAGCAUGCACUUAUUCUCUGAUCUGUGUCCACACACACACUGAGUGCACCCUGUGAGGGACCGCAAGGUCCCUUGCGCUUUUACAUGUACGAACGCCUGUUUUAAACGCAUGUUGAAUCCGUGAUGGAAACGUCUACGUAAACA
RNAcentral lists this unclassified non-coding RNA (190 nucleotides) under uncultured fungus. Its description in RNAcentral is "sequence contains ITS1, 5.8S rRNA gene". The record is from RNAcentral. Lineage: Eukaryota; Fungi.